ACGUAUUCUGAAAGGGAUACUUCUUCGGACAAUAUACAAGGUGCUGCAUGGUUGUCGUCAGCUCGUGCCGUGAGGUGUCGGGUUAAGUCCCAUAACGAGCGCAACCCCUAUCAUUAGUUGCCAUCAGGGUCAAGCUGGGGACUCUAAUGAAACUGCCUACGCAAGUAGUGAGGAAGGUGGGGAUGACGUCAAAUCAGCACGGCCCUUACGUCCAGGGCUACACACGUGCUACAAUGGCCGAUACAGAGGGCAGCUACCUGGUGACAGGAUGCAAAUCUCCAAAGUCGGUCUCAGUUCGGAUCGGAGUCUGCAACCCGACUCCGUGAAGUUGGAUUCGCUAGUAAUCGCGCAUCAGCCAUGGCGCGGUGAAUACGUUCCCGGGCCUU
Molecule: ribosomal RNA, 386 nt
Filed under: uncultured Sphingobacteriales bacterium
Lineage: Bacteria; Pseudomonadati; Bacteroidota; Sphingobacteriia; Sphingobacteriales
Description: bacterial SSU rRNA
Rfam family: Bacterial small subunit ribosomal RNA
Source: RNAcentral